CCUACGGGAGGCUGCAGUAAGGAAUAUUGGACAAUGGGCGCAAGCCUGAUCCAGCCAUGCCGCGUGAAGGAUGAAUGUCCUCUGGAUUGUAAACUUCUUUUAUUUGGGACGAAAAAAGAGCAUUCUUGCUCACUUGACGGUACCAAGUGAAUAAGCACCGGCUAACUCCGUGCCAGCAGCCGCGGUAAUACGGAGGGUGCAAGCGUUAUCCGGAUUCACUGGGUUUAAAGGGUGCGUAGACGGCUAGGUAGAAAUCUCGGAGCUUAACUCCGAAACUGCCAUUGAUACUAUCUAUCUUGAAUAUUGUUGAGGUUUGCGGAAUAUGUCAUGUAGCGGUGAAAUGCAUAGAUAUGACAUAGAACACCUAUUGCGAAGGCAGCAGGCUAAACAUAUAUUGACGCUGAGGGACGAAAGCGUGGGGAUCAAACAGGAUUAGAUACCCUAGUAGUC
This 450-nucleotide ribosomal RNA is filed under the name uncultured bacterium. Its description in RNAcentral is "partial 16S ribosomal RNA". It matches the Rfam family "Bacterial small subunit ribosomal RNA", at positions 338 to 795 of the family's 1533-position model. The record is from RNAcentral.